UACAGAGGUCUCAAGCGUUGUUCGGAUUCAUUGGGCGUAAAGGGUGCGUAGGCGGCGCGGUAAGUCGGGUGUGAAAUCUCGGAGCUUAACUCCGAAACUGCAUUCGAUACUGCCGUGCUUGAGGACUGGAGAGGAGACUGGAAUUUACGGUGUAGCGGUGAAAUGCGUAGAUAUCGUAAGGAAGACCAGUGGCGAAGGCGGGUCUCUGGACAGACACUGACGCUGAUACGCGAAAGCAUGGGGAUCAAACAGG
RNAcentral lists this ribosomal RNA (253 nucleotides) under uncultured bacterium. RNAcentral's name for it is "partial 16S ribosomal RNA". It matches the Rfam family "Bacterial small subunit ribosomal RNA", at positions 524 to 776 of the family's 1533-position model. The record is from RNAcentral.